This is a long non-coding RNA of Cavia porcellus (domestic guinea pig), 4089 nucleotides long. RefSeq lists it as uncharacterized. Lineage: Eukaryota; Metazoa; Chordata; Mammalia; Rodentia; Caviidae. The record is from RefSeq and is a predicted model, not a curated record. The transcript is spliced from 2 exons.
CCGGUGUCAUGGCUCCCUGUCGUGAUCGCAGUGAUGAGGGAUCCUCAGUUCCGUUAGACAACCUUCUGGAACUUCUGCUGACUGCAGGACGCGUGGGAAGACUUGGGACACCGGGAAGCCGCGCAGUGGUGAUGUGAAGUCCUGUGUUUCCAGUAUUUCCCUACAUUGCCAGCUCAUAAUAUAUGCACAUAAGUGCCAUGAGAAUGCGAUGCAAGGCUUAACACUGCAGGUAACCUGACUCCGGAUGAGUGCUUCCCAAGCAUGCAGUGAACUCAGCAAAGCAAUUAUCACCCUAGUUAUUUAUGGCAGAGCCCUAUUGACAACUAGAAAGAACACUAUCAUCAACUCAGGAUACUACGGAGUGAGUUCUUGAAACCUAAGGAAGAUGGUAGUACUCCUUCUGGUAGCUCCGCAUCUCAGGUCUCUAGACUCACCCUUGCUGAGCUUGCCUGUCUCUGACAUAUAAAGAGGAAAAAAAAAAUCAGAGAUCAGCGCCAAGCAAAACUGUAUUACAGGUAGUGCAAGAAAAGAUACAAAGACACUCCAUAAGAGAAGCAUGAAUAAUCCAAGCUGAGUCACAAAGCGGGGUGCCUUACUGGUUCAUGGGAUGGGGGCCCUAUCUCCACCACCUCCAAGGGUCACUGUGUGAUUGGUUAUUGGACUUUUUGGUAGGACCUGGCUUUUGCUAUAGGCAAUUUUCCAGCAACCAUUUUACCAACACAUUUUGGAGAAGUUACCUUCUGCAAAGGGAGCUUAAAGAAGCAGGGUGUAGCUUAUACAGAUACACGAGUGAAACUACAGCUGUCAACAAGACUUUGCUGUGACACAGAAACUAUGUCUCCUUUACUUCUUACAGGGCUCAGUUCCCUAUGUAACUGUCCUUAUAUGCCUCAGUUCACCCUACAUUAGGCGAAUUUUCAUUGAAAGUAAGAAUACCUCCCCUGAUUUUUGGAAUCAUCCGGAGUGGGUGGCUAAAUGGCUGCUCAAUCCAGAGCUAAUUAUAAAUAACCAGAGCACAGUAAUUGUUUGGUUAUUUAAUGUCCACCUCUCACAGGUGGCUCUGUGUAUGUAAAAUGACUGUGUUAAACUCAGGAAAUCAAACGUAUUUUCUUAACGUGUAAGGCUGAAAAAAAAAAAACUGGGAUUCUAGAGAAAAAGUGGUUGUUUUGCACUUUAAGUUCAGGGAAACUGGACAGUUUGGUGAGGAGUGGCUGGAACUCCUUGUAGGAUGGAAGACUGCAUUUCCUGUUUCCUGAGGAAGUUCCGUCUUGUUCUUCUAUCUAUAGUUCACUAUGUCUUCUUAUUUUAUUUCUCAUUAUAAUGGCUUAUUUCUCAAACACACUAUAGGCUGUUUUCUUUUGCUGGGUGCCUUAUUUAUAAAGUAGCUAAACAACCUAUUCUUUACAAACGAUCUAAAUGAUGCCUUCCAGAGAGCUUAGAAUGCUGAGGAAAAUGGUGGGGAUUUUAAUGUAUUGUAAAUGUGGAAAGAGGUGGUCUUUUUUAUUUAUUUAUUUAUUUUUUGUCUUUUUCCUUUUUAUCGGUACCAGGGACCGAACUCACGACUGCCUGCUUGCAAGGCAGGCACUUAUGCCGCUGAGCUAAAUCCCCAGCCCCUGGUAGUCUUUUUGACAAAGAAAAUAAUUAAAAUAUGUUCAUUUUAUAAGAAUUCCUACCCAUGUAAAAUCCUUUUAUUGUAAUAUGUACAUGUGCUUGUUCACUAUUAUAGAAAACUUUAUGUGGCAGAUGGAUAGGGCUAUGUGCCUAUCCAUCUGCCAUAAAACUUUUCAUCUAUGGGCUUUCCAGACCACAGAAUUCAGUCUGCCUGGCCACCAUGAAAGUACCAAAUUUUGUUAGAUCACAAGGUCCACUCCCAUCAAUGGUGUGAUGACAGUGUGCUUCAGGGAUAAAAUACAGCCAGCUCAUCUUGCUUGCUUGGCAUUGUCUCUUCUGCAUAAAGAAAGUUUAAUUCACUGAGAAACUUUUGAAAGUAGGUUUUAAUUUGUUCUGUUUGUGACACCAGUCAGUUUGUACCCAAAAUCAAGGAAUGGGAAAGGGGUCUUGCUAAGGACAACCUUCUGGGAGAGCUACAGGUAAAACUCAACCUGAGAAACACAUUUAACUGGGUCAUCGACAUGUAAAUAGAUGUGAUACUGGCAGUGGUUGGAAGGGCAAGAGCUGUCAUCCCUAAAAUCAUUGCUAUCAUCCUUGUACUGUUUCUACAUAUUGAAUUAAAAUUGAGAUGUUGAUUGAGAUGGACUUCUUAUAAAACAAGUACUGAAGCAGAGGUAAAUCCCCAGAGUUAGGUUCUACAUGCUUAAAAAUGAAUAGGAAAAAAAGGAAUUUUUGAAUAGAGAAGAACAAUGAGGAUUAAAAAGUAAAUAGGGUAGCAAAAAUAAGGUGGCUGAUUGUGUUUGUAACUGUAUAUGCAUCUUCCAAUCUGUUCCACUGGUCCUCAGGGUUAUUUUUUUGCCAGCACUCUGCUGCUUUUAUCACAGUAACUUUGUGAUAAUUCAAGUCAGGGAUUGUGAUGUCUUUGCCUCACCUUUGUUGCCCAGUGUUGCCUUUGCUAUUCUGGGCAUUUCUGCUUGCAGAUGAAUUUUAGCAGUGUUUUCUCUAGUUCUGUGAGGCAUGUUAAGGGUAUUUUAAAUGGAAAUGCAUUAAAUCUGUAUAACAUUUUGGGGAGUAUGGCCAUUUUCACUGUUUGCCCUUCCUACCCAUGAGUAAGUGAUACCCUUCCAUUUUCUGAUAUCCCCUUUAAUCUCCUUUUUCAGAGUACUGCAAUUUUGAUGAUAUAGAUCUUUUAUUUGUUUUGUUAGAUUGAUCCUACCUAUAUCAUUUUUUUGGAUGCCAUUGUGAAGGGUGUUGUUUCCCCAAUUUCUCUCUCAGUGUGUUUUUAUUUUUUUAUUUUUUAUUUUGUCUUUUUCGUUUUUACCGGUACCAGGGUUCGAACUCACGACUGCCUGCUUGCAAGGCAGGCACUUAUGCCGCUGAGCUAAAUCCCCAGCCCCGUCUCAGUGUGUUUUUAAAAUGAUGCUCUGAGCCAAAUCCUUUGUGAUUGUUCCAGCAAGCUUACAAUUACUGAAACAUUCCUUAAUAGAAGUCCACAGAAAUAAUGUAAAUACAUAAAUUAAGAAUAUGACAAACAGUUCCAUACACAUUUGGGGUUCUUGAGAACUUGUUUGCUCCAUGUUUAACAAUUGAUAACAUCAAUACAUUUCUUUUUCUCUAGUUUCUUGUAAACCUAUUUCUUUUUGGAUUUCUCCUAAGCAUAUUUAUAUCUUUAGCUUCUCUUAAGCCUAUUUUUCUUCUUAGCUUCUUUUAAACCUAUAUCACUCUUUGACCACAAUGAAAUCAUAUUUUGAUCCAAGUUUAACACCUGAUGAUUUUACUGUCCAUUCAUUCCAUAAUGAAUACUAAGCACUACCAAUGCACUUCUCACUUUUGCAUGCACACACUCAUAAGUCCAUGCUUCAGUUGCUAAUUGCUGCUUACCAGAGGAGCACUCAAUAUUCUCAGUGGGAAAGACAGUGAAAAGAUGGGAAAAUGAAAAGAGAUGAAAGUUGGGGUCAGGUGGAGUCCUCUGUCUUGAUUGGGGAAAAGAAAUGCACAUUUAUUUCUACAUUCAGAAGUAUAAUAUCAAUCUCAAUUCCUCUGCCUCAUAACUUGUUUUCCAGGCUGGCCUGGACCCCUUGCCUUCUCAUAGUUGUGAAAACAUUUUAUGUGGCUUUCUUUGGGCUCUACCUGUUAUCAUGGCUGGUCUGAUUUUAACUCCACAUGUGUGAUGAAUCUACAUCCUCAAUCACUCUCUGAGCAACACUACUGUGUUAUGAUUUUGUUGUUUCUUUGACUUUUUUUGACUAAUAGUCUGGCUGCUGCAAUGCAUCUUGCCAGAAGAUUUUAGCAUGAUAAGUCUGGGUCUCUCUUAACAUUUAAAAAUUUUAAUGGAAUACCUGUUACAAAACUGCAAUCUGAAAUCUUGUCCUGGAAAUAGCCAAAAGUUAAAGGAAAAUCUGAAUAUGCUGCCCUGUUUUUUCUUUGUCUCUGAAUGCACAUAAUCUGGAAAAAAAUUAAAUUAUUUGAAAAUGAUAA